This 490-nucleotide ribosomal RNA is filed under the name uncultured bacterium. RNAcentral describes it as "partial 16S ribosomal RNA". It matches the Rfam family "Bacterial small subunit ribosomal RNA", at positions 30 to 507 of the family's 1533-position model. The record is from RNAcentral.
AUUGAACGCUGGCGGCAGGCCUAACACAUGCAAGUCGAACGGUAACAGGAAGAAGCUUGCUUCUUUGCUGACGAGUGGCGGACGGGUGAGUAAUGUCUGGGAAACUGCCUGAUGGCGGGGGAUAACUACUGGAAACGGUAGCUAAUACCGCAUAACGUCGCAAGACCAAAAAGGGGGACCUUCGGGCCUCUUGCCAUCGGAUGUGCCCAGAUGGGAUUAGCUAGUAGGUGGGGUAACGGCUCACCUAGGCGACGAUCCCUAGCUGGUCUGAGAGGAUGACCAGCCACACUGGAACUGAGACACGGUCCAGACUCCUACGGGAGGCAGCAGUGGGGAAUAUUGCACAAUGGGCGCAAGCCUGAUGCAGCCAUGCCGCGUGUAUGAAGAAGGCCUUCGGGUUGUAAAGUACUUUCAGCGGGGAGGAAGGGAGUAAAGUUAAUACCUUUGCUCAUUGACGUUACCCGCAGAAGAAGCACCGGCUAACUCCGUG